This 253-nucleotide ribosomal RNA is filed under the name uncultured bacterium. RNAcentral's name for it is "partial 16S ribosomal RNA". It matches the Rfam family "Bacterial small subunit ribosomal RNA", at positions 524 to 776 of the family's 1533-position model. The record is from RNAcentral.
UACGGAGGGUCCAAGCGUUAUCCGGAUUCAUUGGGUUUAAAGGGUGCGUAGGGGGCUUGUUAAGUCAGUGGUGAAAUCUCCGAGCUUAACUCGGAAACUGCCAUUGAUACUGAUGAGCUUGAGUGUAGUUGAAGUGGGCGGAAUAUGACAUGUAGCGGUGAAAUGCUUAGAUAUGUCAUAGAACACCAAUUGCGAAGGCAGGUUACUACUAAGGGAUUGACGCUGAUGGACGAAAGCGUGGGUAGCGAACAGG